UUGAUUUUUUUACAACUGGAAUUUACAGUGUAAAUUUCUUACAAACUGUAAUUUACAGUGCUACAACACCUCUGUGAACUCUGCAUACUGAAAAAUUAAAGUCUUCAACGUCCCAAAAUCCUACAAGUUUCAUGGUAAAAAAUUGCUAAUGUUUUUCAAGAGUUCCCUGAUUAUUGACAAAAAUGACUCAUUCCUGUGGUUCUCCAGCUACCUGAGCAUGAGCAACAAGUUUCCAUGGCCCGAAAGCAAAAUUACAAAAGAGGGUAUUAUCAACAUUUUUUUUAACAAGGACUAGGAGUCUGAAUGAACCGUCACAAUCUCAAAUACAGUGACAAAUAAAGCCCAAAUCAUCAAUCAACUCCAAUCCUUUAUCAUCUUUGCACCAUCUAUUAGCAACAGUUUCCCCAUUAAAAUGAGAGGUGUGGAUUCUCCUUUGUCCUCCUUGUACUUUCGGUGGAUUGAGAUAAGAUUUUUAUGUGGUUUUGGGUGGUUUUUUAAUAAGGAUGUGGAAAUUCUUAUCCUCACAGAGCUUGAAGUGGACAGCAAAUGCCUCCUCAAAGAGCCAAGUUUGGAGGAGUGAAGGACCCAGUAAUGACCAUAGGAGAGGAAGACAUGUAAACAUUCCUAAGCCAUCUUAAAAUAAACCUACUUGGGACAGUUGCCAGGGAAGCUGAACAGAGAAUAAAAUUACAUCUCUCUAGAAUUCACAAGGUGAAGCCCCUCAUGGGGGAGAAUGGCUCCAGACAGCUGAGACAAGACCAAAAACAAAGGUUAAUAGGAAAGGCACACAUCCUCAAGACAACCUUCCCUUGCCAGGCUGCAGGACAGAGCAACUGUCUCAUCUGGAACUUGACCUCCACACGAGAGUAUUUCUGUUAAUCGAUGUGUUUGUCCUGCAUUGUGCUGCCAGCAGCAGCCACCUCUGAGUCAUUUUCUAACACUACAGAAUGCAACUGUGAAGAAAAAAAUCAACAACUAAAUAAAAGUGUAAGAAGUUACUCAUCUGUCACUGGCAAUUAGACAUGAGAGCCAGAAAAUCCAGAGCUAUUUUGUCCUUUGUACUAGCUCUAGUUAAAAUUAAGCAUUCCUCAAUCAGCCCACUUGCAGCGAGAAGAGAGAAAGCUACUUCUGGUGGACUAGAAACACUAGAAGCAAAAAAGACUUACUGUUUACAAGCAGUAAGUUUUAAUAGCAGCAUUUUGAAAAGGAAAAACUGAAUACUUAUUUUGUAGGUAUUGAUGGUCUGUGUGCAUUGCUCCCUCUAGUGUAAAAGACAGAAAAUCACAACAAACAUUCCCCAAAAAAUCACUGAGAUCAGUAACAAACUUUUUAAAAACAUUAUUCUCUAGUCACAUUUUCCCCCUAAAUAUUUAUACAAUAAUUGCUCAUAUUUUGAUACAAUAAAAUACAUUUUCACAUAGUUUCAAAUGGUGAUGUAAGUCUCACACUUUUAUCAACAGGAAAUGAUCACACCAGAACUGAGCAGUGGAUGUACAAACUUACACCCUGUACUUAUAACUGUAUCACUCCCCAAGAAGCUGGCAAGCCAGAAUGUGGUGUUUCAGUUUUACUUUCCAUUGGAAUACUAAUUUCCACUCUAUUUUGUUUAUUUAUUUCUGAGUAACUAUUUUAAACUUUAACCCAAUCUCACGAGCCACUGGAUGAUACUGGACUUCAUCACAAGAGAGUAUGGAAACAGCAACUGACACUGCAGCAAUCUCCUCUCGACAGGGUCUGGGAAGAAUUCCUGGGAGUUUCCACUGCAUAACCAAACAAAAAUAAACGAGCCUUUCAUGUCAGUUUCAUCAGAAGAAGACGCAGAACAAGCUUAUUUUAAUCAGUACAGUUUUCCAGCUGAUAAUUCUCAUACGUACAUACAGUCCCCUGAAAGAUGAAGGCAGCACAUCUUCCUUUUCCACGAACUGAUGAAACCAUCUCUGAACAGAAAAGUUAUAAAAUAACACUCAGAAAUCUGAGCAAAAUUCGAAAUAGAGCUUUCCCUGAUGAUGUGAUUUUAAAAAAAGUUCAGAAAUAAUUAAUGCUCUUUUUUGCAAAGAUGAGCUCUUUUCCCCCCUGCAAUGUUGCUAGCGUGCGAAGAAACUGAGAACGUAGGAAGCCUUCUGAAGAAUCAUUUUGCAACUCUAUGCUUUCAUUUUUACUGGCACUUGUAUUUCACAGGAAUCAGCAUCCUUAUCAUACAAGUACUGUCGUCUUCCAACUUCUGCUGUAGCUGCAUUUCAGCUUUCCAAGGUCCAAGACAGAAAACAGGUCCAUUUCUCUGUGCACCAAAAUGAGGUUAUGAAUCAUUAUCUAGUUUUACACAUACAAAAUCUGAGUAUCUUUUGUGGAACCAAUCUGAAAUAAAAUCUGAUGCAGUGUAUUUUUUUUUAAUACCUUUAACAGAGUCCUCAUGAUGACAAGUGGUUCUACUGUCUCAACACUGCCCAAAUUAGGCUCCAAUCCCUUUAAAGAAGACCAUGAUUAUAUCUCAGAUCCUUGAAGUCAUUGUAUUAAAUGCAAACCACCAGAUUUAAUUUUUCUAACUGAUGUAGCUGUUGAGGCCAUCAGAGCAGCACACUUCAGUGAUGGUCCUUCCAGAGUACCUGCCAUCACUGCUCUCCCUAAAGCUGUGUCUGCUGUCAAGCCUGAGAAAACGGUUUGCUUCAUCAUUUGUGAAGUUUAUCCAACUCAUCAUCCCUAAUUACCAGGGUCCAUCACAGGCAACUGGUCUCAGCUAACUGCAACACCUCCUGUGCAAAGGGCUCAGUCAGGACAAUGCUGGGUGCCACAGGAGAACAUUCAGCUUCUUGGCCCAGUGCCUCUGCAACAGCUCAGUCAUGGAGUAAGAAAAUGGGCACUGCAGCAAAAUCUCAGGGGCUAAAUUCAGGACAAAAUUUACAGUUGAGAAAGAAAUUUUAUUUCAAGCUUCUACGGGGGUAUUACAAACAAUAGAGAAUAAAAACAUUAAAAACUAUUUAAAAAGUAAUUGUCCCUUUAAAAUAAAGAUUCAAGCAGGUUUAACAAUGAAGUAUGCUAUUCAAUGAAGUUUUAAAAAAAAGAUUUAAAAAGUAUUGGUUUUGCUGUAUUUGCUAAUCCUUUAUAAAAAAGCUGGGCAUAAAUACUUCGUGCAUUCAUAUGCAUUAUUUGGUGUUUCAUAUUAUAUAACUUGGUACAGUAUUUACGAUAUCACUGCAAAAGAGUUCAAACACAGUGCAUUUAUAAAUAAUGGAGCCAUUAUAAAUCACAUUGCAAACAUACCUUGCCAUUUUCAUUGUUACAAAUUCAGUAUCUCAGUGAAGGUAGGAAUAAAGUAGCUACAACAAUCAAUAUCUUGACUUUAUUUUUUUUCUUUUUAAUAUAAAAAUGCAGUUCUGGAAACCCACCCUCCUUCUUCCCCCUGCCCAAACAUAAUGCUUUACUUCUUAAAAAUAAAAAUAAAGUACUAAUUCUAUAUACAUCACAUGUACCAUACAAAAAUGUAUCCAAAGUUUCUAUUGCUACCAAAGUGUUCUAAAUUAAAAGUUACAUAAAUCCCCUCAUUGGAAACAAAAGAUUACAAGUUACCAAAAAACCGAAUUACACACAAACCAUCGAGUUAUUUUAUACAAUUUCCAAUACAUUUUUCUCCCAAAGCAAGUUGUCUUCUCAUGUGCCUGUAUAAAAAUGCAUAUCAAUAUAUUUGUCAAUUUUAUUUUUCAUUAUAAAGCAAAUUAAUACAUUUUCUACAAUAAAUAAAACACAGGGAGGCACACAUAUCAACAAAAUUAAACCAAUGGGAGAUAAAUGGGAUAUGGUUUUGAAAGAAAUAAUGUGCUUGCAGGCUUUAAGCCAGGUUUGUUUAAAACAGUAAGAACCUUAAGUAAUUUUGGGCAACAAUGGAGUGUUUUUGGUGAUUUGCAAGUGAUGUACAUAGUAUAAUUUUUAUUGAUGUCUUUCUCACAAAGUACCCUCCAAAAUAACGCAACUUCCUUUCUUAAAAUACAUAUUUGUAAUUGUAAAUUUACAUCAAUCUUAAAUAUGCGGUACUUUGUGCAAAGAG
Zonotrichia albicollis (white-throated sparrow) is the source of this 4039-nucleotide non-coding RNA. NCBI's taxonomy places the organism in Eukaryota, Metazoa, Chordata, Aves, Passeriformes, Passerellidae. The record is from RefSeq and is a predicted model, not a curated record.